RNAcentral lists this ribosomal RNA (729 nucleotides) under Salmonella enterica subsp. enterica serovar Typhimurium. RNAcentral describes it as "partial 23S ribosomal RNA". It matches the Rfam family "Bacterial large subunit ribosomal RNA", at positions 436 to 1165 of the family's 2925-position model. Lineage: Bacteria; Pseudomonadati; Pseudomonadota; Gammaproteobacteria; Enterobacterales; Enterobacteriaceae. The record is from RNAcentral.
GUCUGAAUAUGGGGGGACCAUCCUCCAAGGCUAAAUACUCCUGACUGACCGAUAGUGAACCAGUACCGUGAGGGAAAGGCGAAAAGAACCCCGGCGAGGGGAGUGAAAAAGAACCUGAAACCGUGUACGUACAAGCAGUGGGAGCACCCUUCGGGGUGUGACUGCGUACCUUUUGUAUAAUGGGUCAGCGACUUAUAUUCUGUAGCAAGGUUAACCGUAUAGGGGAGCCGGAGGGAAACCGAGUCUUAAUUGGGCGUUAAGUUGCAGGGUAUAGACCCGAAACCCGGUGAUCUAGCCAUGGGCAGGUUGAAGGUUGGGUAACACUAACUGGAGGACCGAACCGACUAAUGUUGAAAAAUUAGCGGAUGACCUGUGGCUGGGGGUGAAAGGCCAAUCAAACCGGGAGAUAGCUGGUUCUCCCCGAAAGCUAUUUAGGUAGCGCCUCGUGAAUUCAUCUCCGGGGGUAGAGCACUGUUUCGGCUAGGGGGCCAUCCCGGCUUACCAACCCGAUGCAAACUGCGAAUACCGGAGAAUGUUAUCACGGGAGACACACGGCGGGUGCUAACGUCCGUCGUGAAGAGGGAAACAACCCAGACCGCCAGCUAAGGUCCCAAAGUCAUGGUUAAGUGGGAAACGAUGUGGGAAGGCCCAGACAGCCAGGAUGUUGGCUUAGAAGCAGCCAUCAUUUAAAGAAAGCGUAAUAGCUCACUGGUCGAGUCGGCCUGCGCG